Molecule: long non-coding RNA, 11092 nt
Filed under: Solanum tuberosum (potato)
Lineage: Eukaryota; Viridiplantae; Streptophyta; Magnoliopsida; Solanales; Solanaceae
Description: long non-coding RNA (STUB_LNC003220)
Source: RNAcentral
AGAUGCAUCAACAAAUCGACUGGGAAGGAGUACAGAGAUGGACCAAUGGUCAACAAGUACAAAGAUAUGCUUAUUAAGAAAGCAGUAGAACAAGAUGCAGAAUUUGUUUCUUAUGAUCCAGUGGAAGGGCAGUGGAAAUUUAGGGUAUCACACUUCUAAUUGAUUUUGUGGCAUAACCAAAUGUUUGAAUUUUAAGAUGUCCUCCAACUGAUAUUUUUAGAAUUAGCUCACUUUGAUUUUGUCCCACUCUUUUACGCACUUUUGUUCCCAGUGUGCCAAGUUGUUAUCACUGGAUUUCAUUCAAAGUUUACUCAUUUUGUGUGUAUCUCUUGCAAAGUUUUCUGCUUUUAUCUCCAAUUAUUCUUUUCUUUUUUCACUUGUUUGUGGGUAAAUAGUUCUAAUGAAUCCUCGUAUUAAUGAAUGCCUUCAGGUCCCUAUUCUUAUUCAAUUUGUUAAGACACUUUAUAAAAAUUUCUGUUAUUUAAUUUUGAGGUAAAAUACUGAUAAUAAUAUUUGACACAGCCUGGAAUACAAAGCGUAAUCACAAAAUCAGGGGACAACCAAACACCAUAACUUCCUUUCUCAUUAGCAAUCAAUAGAUUCAAUGUGAACUUGUAAAUAGUUUUUGCUAGUUAUGUUUGAACUUAUUAUUAAAACUAGUGGGGAGUUUCCCGUGCUGCGCGCCACGCACGGGCCCAAUAUCUAUUUUACUGUGAUGAACUUUAAUUUGUGAGUAAACCAUGACACACUUGUCUUUGUAAAGGCUUAGCCCAUUCGAUUAGAUUAUGUUCUCCGUGGGGACAGUUUUUGUCCAUCAUUCGACGGCCUGUCAGCAUUUUUAGAAGAACAACCCCGAAACUGUAUACGUCACUUCUGGCGGUUAUAUGACCUACACAUGAGAGGUGACAAUCAGAAGGUGAGAAAAAAAUUACUCCAGGCUAUCAGAGCAGAAAGGGGAGGUUUCAAAGCUGAAACAUUUAAACCGAAAGACGUAAUUCUUGAAUAGGGAUAAAUAACAGAACAAUCCAAAUAGCAUUACACUUCCAAUUUCUUUCAAAACACAUAGUCUCGAGUACGAAAGACUUGCAAAUUAGACAUAUAGACGACUAUCAAGAACUGAAAAGAGGAGAUAACUCUUAAGAGAAACAUUACUGAAAUAUAUAUGCCAAACGCUCUGACAGAAACAAAUUUGGGUGAGCAGGGCCAUGUCCGUACAGAAACGGUUGGAGCAAAUUGAAAAUACAACAACAACAUAUAUGAAGGUAGAGAGGUUGUUACCAGUAGACGCUCAGUUCAAGUAAAGCAUAACAACAAUUAGGAGUAACUUGAAAUUGUAUAUUACCUGUGGCCAUAUACUCGGGAGCUCUAGUAGAUACAUGGCUUUUACGGUCAAUUGGCCCAUCCUUCGCCAAUCCAAAAUCAGAAAGCUUUGCAUUGUAAUUCUGUCAAACUUCUAGAAGACUAAAUUUCAAAGUGGUUCCACAUACAACAUCAAGCAAAAUGUCAGAUGAUUUGAAAUCCCGAUAUAUAACUUUAGCUUUUGGGCUAUCCGGAGAUUCCAUGACAGUGGUUGGAAAUAAGUACUGCCUGUUCAAGAUGUACCAAAGGUUAACGAUAUGUACCAUACAAAUCCUAAUAUGUACCAUAAAAUUUUUGAUGCACUCCACUCAAAAGCUGCCAAUGAAUAGAAUAUAGUGCUAUAUAUUAUUGCCUGUGAAAACACAUACGGAAACUCAAUAGCAACCUGCAUAGAAAAGUGGAGCACUGUUAAGAAUACCGAAGAAAAAAGAAGUUUUUUUUAACUGUAAAGGAAACAGAAAUAGGGGGACACCUGAGCAAAUGCAAAUGGUAAAGCUGAGUACAUCCCUGCAGCUCUCUCUCGGUAUGAAACAAAUCUUUCAACGGAAACAAAUGGUUGGACAACAGUGCUAUUUGUAACUCCAAUGAACAACACUGCAAUGUACAUGGAUCCCAUUGCAUUGAAUAAAUCCUGCUGUGAAUCCCUGUUGAGAGUAAUAUAUCAAUAGUUACAAACAAUAUGAUCACGACAAAAGACUGUAAGUACCACAGGACAAGCCAUAUUCGCAUGAAAAACGGAUAUGUGAAGUACCAAAAGCCUGCUACUCAAAUAAGCAGUUACGAUUAUCCAAGAAUCAUGAAUCCACAUGCACCUGAGUUUGUUCCAAGAAAAACACAGCCAACUACUGCUGCAAGUGAAGAUUCAAAAAUGGCUAUUGAUGUUGAUUCUUUCACAUGGUUGAAUAAUUUUGUCACAAUAGGAUUUAAGGCGAAGAAGAAACAGGCGACAAUUCCGAAAGCACAGAGGUUCCUCCUUCUUAUGCAACUAUGAGCCGGUGUGCUAUUGAUUUUCUGUACUUGGAAAUAUCAUUUGAUACUAAAGAAUGUCAGUCCAGGUCCUGCUGAAUAGGUGCCAGGUGACUGGUUGCUGUUAAUAAUUUCGGAAAACUUACAAGGUCUUAGAAAUCAAGUGCACCCACAAAUAAACAAGCAUAUGAAACACACUGCACUGCACCCACAAAUAAACAAGUCGAACAAAUUUGAGGAGCAGUAGAGACACACCUUCAACUAGAAAACAAUAGGCUUCUUCCGAUAUUGCUCACAAAGAUUGUACAAAUCUGUGGAAAUCAAAUACGUAUAUGAAGCACGGAGUAGAAUGUAAAAGAUACGCAACAUCUAAACUUCUAACCAUUCCCUCUUGCCUCUGAAGACUACAUAACUUUCACUAGUGAAGACAAAGAGCGUCAGUCAAUGUUCAAUCUAAAAUUAUGUAUACUGGAUCUGAGGUAAAUAGUACUGAACAUUCAGAGAAAUUUAAAGGUGUGUCAUACUCGGUAGUCGAGUUACACAUCUAUAAAUAAAAUACAACAGAAGUAACCUAAAUUAAAUGACAAUACCGAGCCAGGAGUCAAUUUUCACAUUGAUUUAACAUAAUAUAGAUCAUCCACUGGAGUGAUGUGUGAUGCAUAGUUUGAACAAUUUGAGACAAGAUGUCACCUAUGUUGUGACCAUGGAGGUUCCAGUAAGAGUGGUGAGACAGGUUAAUCGGAGUGGCCUUGUUUAGUGAUUUUGCCUCAAAUUCGACACUAAGUUUAUAAGGAUCUUUCAAUGCAUAGGUACCAGAGACAAGGAAUUAAUGGACUGAUUCAUCAAUUCAUUCAUACCUUUCUUGGAAAGGACACUAAGAUUUACCCUCUUCGCCAUCAUAACUGUGGUAGGUUAGAGUUAUGUGAGGACAUGGACCAUCUUGCACGUAUUUGUUGACUCGCUUACAAUUCACAGACCCUUACAUAAUUCAGAUGAAACAUUGUGUGUAAUACCAUUAAACAAAUGUUAUGGGACAUGGACAAUUCACCUUGUUACUUACAUAUCUUCAGACUGUUGCACCAAGUCCAUGUCUUCAGCAGUGAACUGCUUUGGAAUAUGUAUAGUCAGCAUAUGUUAAGACAAAUCAGAAAAACUAAAUAACCAAUCCUUUUGUCAUAGAAAACAAAAGUACGUACCUGUUCAAACAUAUUAGCAACAGUUUCCAAUUCAUUCGGAAUUCUGAAUAGCCUAUAGCCCUAAUUGAGAUAAAUCCUCUACCUGAGCGACAAAAGAGAGUGGAGUCGUAAGGACUAAGGACAGAACAGAUAGAGAGAGAGAGAAUCAAAUAGCAUUUAAAUCGGAACUACCAGUAAACUAAUAGUGAAAAGCAAAACAAGGAAUCUAUACAUAAUCAUUUCUAAGCAAAGCUUGGGAUCCAGAAUGCUCCUUCUCAAGUAACUGAUUGGUAUACAAAAUCAAUAAUUCGUUUAUCACUUUCUGCAGCACAAAUUUGGACUCAACACUGAAAACAAAUCCCAACUAAAGGAAGAUUUUCAACAUGAUGGAGGCCUGAAUUUUCAGUAUUCCAAGUCAAGUAUCUAUCAGGCGAAUACUUUUAAACCAAAUGAACAAUACUGUAGAAAUAUGAGAUUGUUAACUUUCCUUUCAUGUUUUAUUUCCUUGAACAAAAUUUAAAAAUUCAUUGACCAACCACCACCUCGCACCAACGAAGAAGAUGUGCUUCAAGUAAUAUCACACUUAAGAUUUGGCUGCAGCGGACAAAUAUCACAAAAACAAGAAGCAAAGUCUCCAGAAGUUUUUUCUCAUUACUAACAUGGAGAUUAAUAUAAUGACACACUCUAUCCUUCUCUUUCUUCAAAUACUCUUCUACCUGUGUUAGCAAAGCAUGUGUAUCACAAUUUAACCGGGCAACUUAAAGCAAUAACCAACUGUUUAUGGAGAAAAUUAUAAAAAUGAGUUGUACCUUCAACGUAUAAUCUGAAUAAGAAUCUUCCAUGAUCCAACUUGAAGCUUUUCGAGUAUCUCUAAGCAUGGCAUCUUCAAAGUCAUUCACAUAAUACUCCAUUUUCCCCUUCCAAUUCCAACAAAUACAUCAAAAGAACGUUCUUUAAUAAAGUUGUAUCAAUCUGCUUACCCUCACAAUCUUUUUCAAUCUGAUAUCAGCUAACUCUUAAUCAGACCCUCAUAAACUACCAAAUAGUAUCACAAGAAUUGGGGUCAAUAAACUAGUUUAGGUAUAAAACUCGCAAAAUGGUGAUAGAUUAAGAUUUUUUAACCUAUUCACUCUAUACCAAAAAGACCUAAAAUCACAUGCACUAGUUGCAAUGUUGAUGGGUGCAUAUUUGAUGAGUCCACAAUUUCGACUCAUUUAGGGUAUUUUAAUAGAUUUAGUGUCCUUAAAUGCAUAUUUUGUGCCAAUAACUGAUGUAAAUCUACGAUUUUCAGGUAUUUGGAUUGAGGAACAAAGCAUGGACACUAAUGAGCAAAAAGGAACAAGGCAACUUAAAGAACGAAGAAAACAGGGCCUGAUGAUCGCCUAACCCAUUGGGCGAGUCGCCGAAUGGCCACGAUCUCGCCUAAAGUUCCAGUGUGCCAAGCCCUGAAGGAGAAAAUCGAGUCGGCGAUAGAAAGGAGCAGUCGGCGAGUUGCCGAACGGUUCCGCGAUGCAGUGCUAGAUCGCCCAAAGUCACAGAACUUGAAGAUGUUGAAGGCCAAAGCAAAAAGGCGAUGAAAUUGACCAAAGGGAGGAUCGCCGAGUGGAUCGGCGAUCCUGACAUAUUGCGCCGAAUAGUCCUUCGCAACAUAUUUUUGGCGACUAUAAAUACAUUUUAAAAUUCUUAGUUUAGUAUCCAAGUUUUAUUAUUAUUCAGUUUUCAAGUUUGGAACUUAGAACUGAGAGUAUUGAGACAAUAUUUUCCUUAGCAUUGAAGAUUUGAAGAUUUCCAUUUUUGAGAAAUUGAAAGUGGGUCUUUGAGAUUCUUCAACCUUGACCUUUGUAAAGACGAAAUUAAUCGUACCCAGUUGAUGGAAACACAAUUUGGUAACGAUUUUUAUCUUUUUAUGAUGUUUAGCUAAAACCCCAAUUCUUGGGGUGUGAUUAUGUGGUUAUGGAUUGAUUUAGGUGCUGGGUAUUGUUAAUUGAUAGUUUAAAUGUUGUUUAAAAGUGAUUUCAAUCAGUAAUUGUGGUUUAAUUUAAAGGGUUGUAGUUGCAAAUGCAACUCUAACUUCGUGUUUUUGGCUUACUCGAGAGACAAGUUUUAAAACCAAGAUUACUGAUUUGAUGGUCUGUGGGUAUUGGGUUGUCAUGGGUUCAGCUCGAGAGAGUGAAUCCUAAACCUUUUUCCACACAUUUAGCUCGAGAGAGUGAAUGUACUAAAGCAUAGACUGUUCUUAAUUGCUCCUUAUUGGUGUUCGAGAGAAACCAAUUUGAUUCGGGGUAAAUUGUUUGAGAGAAUGUUUACCCCACUAAAGUCUAGCUUAGUCACUGAUUUACAGCUAUUUACUAUCAGUUGCAAUCACCCAUUUAUCUACCUUAGCCCAUAAUCCAAUCAUAUCCCAAGAACCCGUCUCUUUACUUGUUUAUUCGUGUUAUUUAUUGUUGCUGUAGUUGAUAAUUACAAUCAAAACCCCCCAUAUUUGACACUUGUGUCACCCUUAAUUGAAAUAUGCUUUUAUUCGUAAAUGUCUUUACCUAUGAUUGACUUGAACAUAUUUGCACUUGGCUCCUGAAUCUUAAGCACGUACCACUCCCUGUGGGAUUCGACCCCAACUCACUUAGUUGGGUUAUAUUACUGACUAACGAUCGUUGGCACUUAGAAUUGGAAGAAGUGUCCUGAUACGUGAAAUCAAAAUGGCGUCGCUGCCGGGGAGUGGUGUUGGUUAAGCUUCUUUAGUUAAGUUGAAUUUUGUUCUUGUUAGUCAUAGUUGAAUUUACUUAAUUCAAGUUUUGUUUUGCUUGUUUGUGUUUUGAAACAGGAAGUAUGAGUGUGAACGGCAGCAAUGGAAGCAAAGUAGGUCAUCAAGAUGACAUCGGUAACCUCAACGAUGUCAACGAGCCUAAUGUUAAUGACCCUCAUCUUAUGGGUGGUAUUGGUGUCAUUCGCUUUCCCCCAGCCGAAGGGAAUGCGGUGUUCCACAUCACAAGUUUUAUGUUGCAGCUCUUGCAAUUGAAAAAAAUGUUCGGUGGUUUGGCUCAUGAGGAUCCCCAUGAGCAUAUUAGAAACUUCGUGGAUGUAUGCGGACCGUUCUCCUUCAAGAACAUAUUCCAAGAGUAAGUCCGGUUGAGAUUGUUCCCGUUCUCUUUGAUGGGAGAAGUAUGUAAGUGGCAGGCUGAAUUGCCACGUGAAUCAAUCACUUCGUGAGAGGAGUUAGUCACCGCAUUUCAAGUGCGAUUUUUCCCUCCUUCGAAGAUAAUGACUCUUCGGGACAACAUUUAGAGCUUCAAGCAUCUAGAGGGUGAGCCAAUUCAUGAAACUUGGCUAUGAUUCAAGAAGUUGGUGCUCCAAUGUCCAACUCAUGGCUUGCCUGACAACGUGUUGCUUCAGUAAACAAGGGUGUUGCUGACCAACUUUCUCCAGGAGGUUUGAUGCAACAACCUUAUGUGAUAGCGACUUAGCUCUUGAAUGGCAUGGCCACAAUCAAUCGGGCAUGGUACACCCUCGAAGAUCAGGUCUCCCCUCUCACAUUCAAAUUGACCAAAGAGCAGAUGGAGAAAGACCACGAGAGGGACCAGAACAUAGCCAAGAUCAUGACAUAACUUGACAUUUUGUCCAAAAAUGUCAUGGGAGCUGGUGCUCGGAGUAUCAAUGCCGUGGGUGUCGGGUGUGCUAAUCCUGAUGAGGCAAAAUUUGAGGCUUUGUACAGCGAAUAGGUGAAUUUCCUAGCCAACCAAGGUGGUGGUUAUCGUUCAAACUACCCGAGGCAGGGUGGUAACCAAGGUUGGAAUAGAGAUGAAGGUUGGGAGGAUCAUGAUCGAGAAUGGAGGGAUCGAAAUCCCAAUUGGAAGGAUGGAGAUAAAGAUAUGUAUGUGCCUCCCCAUGAGCACCAAAAGCCAAAGGAUUCGGAAGGUGGCCGGUCGGAGGAUAUGCUUUCUUGUAUCCUCCAAAGCUCUAGUUAUGGAAAGUCCGCAUUUGGUAUUAAUCAGAAAGGAAGUAGAAUAGCAUCAUACAUUGCAACUCCAGAUAUAGAUAACAUAUUUCUCGAUGGUGGAGGAAUUCAAUCCAUUUGUGGAAUGCAGACUUACCAACAUAAAAGCCAGGAGGAGUUAAGGUUUGAGGACUACCAGUUAGGUGAUAAAGGUAUCCUUAAUUUGUUUUCUUAUUUGUAGAUUACAAAGAAAUCUACCUUGUAUUUCAUUAACUUAUUAUACUUCAUGGGUGAAUUUGCAGGUCAGAAAUGUGGUUCUUCAUUUGGUGUUUCCGGCACACAGGGGUUUGGUGUCAUCGACAAAACGAGGCCUUUCAUAUCACCAAUAUUUAACCAAUCAACUGUUAAUCAACCUGUUUAUUCCCAUUUUCCCAGUACAUUUGCAGUGGAAAGAGCAGGGAUUGACUCUCUAUCAAAUGAAAAUUCUACCCCAUUUUCGAAGCCACUGCAGCAGUCCAUUUCCCAUAUAUUCCCCCCAAACACAUCAUUGUUAAACUCUUGUGGCACUGGAAGUAGAGUGCAAUCUACUGCUUCAACUGUUUCUUUUUCUCCAUGGAUCCAUUCAAGUCCGUUUGCACCUUUUAAUCCAGCUUCCAGUUCUUCCACUACCUCCACCUUUUCUCCAUCAAGGAAUCCGUGGUCUUUAUCAACAUCUACCCCUCUAUCUCCAUGUUCAGUUUCACCUUCUACAUAUCCUUUGUUAGCAAAACCAUCAGGCCCUGAUUUUGAUCAAAAGAACUAUUUUCCUCCCACACCUGUUUUAACUACAGGUGGCGCUCCACAAUCCACAUUUUGCUUGAACUGCCUAAAGCAGUCACAGCCUACUCCACCAGGACUUUCUAAUGUUUCAAGCACUCCGCUUGCGACGAGUCAAAAUACUGUAAGUGUUUCUGAACUUAUAUCCAAUUAGAUCUUAUUUAUAUAUCUCUGCCAUUUGCUUUCUGUCAUAAAUAAUAUAAAAGGCACCUUGUGGUCUAUAAAAUCGGUGAAUCUCUUCUAUUGUGGUGUUGUACAUCUAAGCUGUUGCUACUCUUGCAGCCUCUGUUCUCUGUUCCUCUGCAGCCAGAAAUGACUCCUAAAGUUGGAGCAACACUUCCAACAACCAAGUCUUCUCACCCAUCAACAGGUACACUUAGUGCAGUAUGUCUUGCUCUUUUUGAUGUCGAUAGUAUGUUGGAUUGUAAACAAUGUAGCUAAUCCUCCCGGCCCCUGUUUCCUGUAAGAAGGUGCUAGUUGCUCAGAAAUUGGACAAGGAGUUGGUCAGCAGCCAAGUGUCAAUGGCCAACAGUGAGUAUCAAACUUAACUAUCUAUUGUUUUACUUUACUUUGUGUGUUAUUGAAUGCCUAAUUUUGACUUCUAGGCUUUCCUCGCAUUCUUUUUAUUUUUGUUGCCUCAGUUAUUACUCCACAGUCCCGUUUUAAUCUGAUCGUUUUCUUCUUUUGUGUCUCUUCUUUUUCUUGCCUCCGAGAUCUUUCUUUUUGUACUUUCUCAUGCACCAGCUAUACCUUAACAUAUUUUCAGGUCUUACUUUCCGAGAAUCAUGGAAGUCAAGCCAUCACCAAUUAUGCCUCCUGCUGAAACACAACCUUCAGUCCAAAUCUCAGUUGAGCACCCGUAUUUGGAAACAUCCAUCCAGUAUGGAAUUUCUAGUUUACCUGUAAGUUUCACAUUUCUGAACAAGUUAUUAUAAUUAAUGUUGCUCCUGGAUGUGUUCAUUGGUCUCAAGCCAAGUAAUCAUACUCACUAGUAGUUACAUGAUGUACUGGGAUACCUCAUUACAAUUGAUGUAAUGCUAUGCACCUUGAAAUACAGUUUAUUUAUUACCUUUAUUAUGUUGUAAUUGUGGAUGCUUUCCUGUCAAAGUAGAUGUACCUGCGUCUAGUUGCUGGACUUUGGCUUUAUAUUUGCUUGGUUUUACUGCAUCAAGUAGGUUUAUAUAAAUAAAUUUCAGUAUUUCUCCAAUCAGAUAUAAACAUCAAUAUAGUUGUCCAAAUUCCAAACAAACUCUUCAAAGUAUCAGGCAUGAUUAUGUUUUUAUUAGAUUCACUAUGUUGCUUAAGGUGAAAACAACAGUUGUAGGCUAUUAUGAAAAAUUAUCCUUUUGUUGGUUGCAGGUUUCUAACAACCCUGCACCGUUGAUAAUUCGACAUUCAUCUCUAAGUCACCAUAGGUUGCCACCUCAGGAAUACAAACCUACAAGUGAUAAACCAAAGGUGAGAAGUAUAAUUUUAUGCGAGACAUGUUUAGUAGUUCCUGGGCAUGCUUUGGUUGAUGGACCAAAAGUUUAAGUUGCAAUCAUAUGCAAAGAUUGCAAGUAUGGGUAUCCUUUCGGUGAAAAAAUACAGGACAAAGUCCAUAUUUUCCUCUAAUCCAAGGUAAACACUGGAAGAUUUAACAGGACUAUAACAUUUGUUUAUGUAGAUACUCUUUGUCAUGGAUAAAGAAAACGCUUCUGGUGUACUAAGGACAGAAGUCAUCAUCAUUCCAAGGGACCGGGUUCGUCCUACCGCAGAAUCUCCACUGGGGGCUGAUUCAUCUAUGGACAGUAAGCUUUCUUUUUUGAUAAACAUAUGCAAGCAUGCCUUUCUUUCAUUGAUUGGUUAAGCUGGAUUCUAUUAGAUGUAAUGUUUACUGUAAUGUUUUAGUGGAUUACUUAAUAUCAAGUACCAUUUUAUGUCUGCUCCAUCAAGAUCCCAUUUCGUUAAAGCUCAAAGCCUGGAAUCUCUAAUAGUGCAAAAUUAAAACCAACUUCAUGGAUUGGUGAUUCGUUUACAAGACUUUGGACACUAGAAAAAUCAUCAUUUGUUAUCUAUUUGAGUAUAUCCAAGGAUAUAAAAUUUAACUUGCUACUUUACAAGUUCCAAGAAUUAAGAACCAAACUAACCAAGUUUGCUAUUUAAUUGUGUAAUAAUUCCCUUUUCUGUUUAAAAUGUAGGGAUGCAUGACGGAGACAAAGUUGGUGACAAGCCCAAGUUAGAGCCUGAAGAGAUGCAUCAUGAUAAUUGUGGCAAUGAUAAGGAUGUGGAUGGCAUUAUGCCAAAGCUUCAACGUGCUGAUUACUACACCGUUCCUCCUAUGGAGGAGUUGCUAUCCAAGGAGAAGGAAGAAGCUGAUUUUUGUUGCCACGUAAAGGACUUUGUGGUAGGAAGAUAUGGGUAUGGAAGCAUCAAGUUCUUGGGAGAAACAGAUGUCCGGAAGCUUGACCUUGAUUCUGCUGUCCAGUUCAAUCAUCGUGAGGUGGUCAUCUAUAUGGAUGAGAGCAAGAAGCCUCCAGUUGGACAAGGCCUCAACAAGCCAGCUGAGAUAACUCUCCUUAAUGUCAGAUGCAUCAACAAAUCGACUGGUAAGGAGUACAGAGAUAUGCUUAUUAAGAAAGCAGUAGAGCUUGAUGCAGAAUUUGUUUCUUAUGAUCCAGUGGAAGGGCAGUGGAAAUUUAGGGUGUCACACUUGUAAUCGUGAGUUCAAAUUUUCUUGGUUGGUUUUGUGACAUAACCAAAUAUUUGAAUUGUAAAGAUGUCUUCCUGCUGAUACUUUUUUACAAUUUGCUCACUUUGAUUUAGUCCCACUAGAACUCCCACUUUUUUUAUGCACCCCGUUGAU